UGAGGGCCCCCGCCUUGCUGUCUAUAUUUGGCUUAUACGAUUUUCAACUUCAGGCAGAGGAUGUGGCUCAGUGGUUAAGAACACUCGCUGUGCAAACAUGAGGACUGGGAUUCGAAUCUCCAACAGCCCUAUACAACGCACUGGUGUAGCUGUCUUCGUUUAUAGCUCCAGGGUUGUCUGAAGGUGGAAAUGGGUGAAUCGCCAGGGCUGGCUGACUGCUGGCUCGUUCCACAACAUGAACCAGCUAACUGGAGGAGGUGUCUACUGUGAUGUUCUGAGAAAGAUGAGCAGCAUUUGGGCUCAGGAGAAGAAGAUCCUCUGGGAAUGGAAAGGGCAGGACAGAGUGUGGGAGGAGAGACAAAGGAACUGCACCAGCAUGUCACCUCAUUAUCUGAGAAGGGGAGUCCUGAGCCACCCAGUGGAACAGAAUUAAAACCCACCAGACUUGACUUCUAUAUGCUCUUCCAAUUACAAAGACUCAUUAAUAACAGGGAUUUUCCAGGGGGAAAUGAAGCAUCACUGUUCGCUGUUGUUGUCAUUUGAUGAAAAGACAUUUAUUGAGCAUGCCUUAUGUUUUCCUUCAGAGUUUAAUUGUCCGAGAAUUUCACACAUACAUGUAGUAUAUUUUGAUCAAUGCCACCCCCAUUCUCUCCUGACCAUUUCCUCCCCAACCUAACCCAAUAAUAUUUUGCCUCCCAACUUUGUGUGUUCUUUUCAAAAAGUCCACUGUGUUCGCUUAGUGCUGUCUAUAUGUCUGAGUUUGUCUUUUAUUUUUAAAUAUUUCCUGGGUCCAGCAUAAAGGGACAUCUGUGGGCUCAAGGAUAAGAACAAAACCACAUGUGAGUUCCUUUGGAAAUUUUUGCAGUCAGGACAUGUCUCCUAUGAUUCAGCAGAAGUGAUUAUUUUGGGAGCAACAAAAGAUAUUCCUUUUUUAAAAGUACAAACUUAUGUAACACUGCCAAAAAAAACUAAAAUAGAUUUUAAAGCUAUUGACUUUUGUUCAUAAUUUCUGGCUGCUGUUCUCAAUGUGAAGACAUUUGAUUUACUUAUAGUGUCGCAUUUAUUUUUCCUGACAAGUAUUUUAUAUUCAUAUCUUUAUGUAUCUCUUGGGCCUUUGUGGUUCUGUCAUUUGAGGCUAUCUAUUGCAUAGUUUUGAUGUCUAUGACUGACUUUAUUUCUCUGAUUUGGGGGAUUUCCUUCCAACUUGCCACCAUUACAGAUGAUUUUGUCCUUAUCAUUUGGUGUCUGUCCUCACAGGUGCCUUUCCCAACCCGAAAAUCUUAGCUCCUAAAGUAGUUCCUUUCCCUUCCCAUCCCCUAGAAUGUGAUCCAGUAGCUUCCUCAUCUGGCUGGAUCUACUCUCCAUCUUCACUAGGGCUGAGGAACUUCUGUUCACAAUUACUAAGUGAGGGUUCUAGCCUUAUCACGUAGAUUGUUCCAGCGAAAUGUAAUGCAUUGUUGUAGUGCCCGUGAUCAUGGCCUUAAGUAUUCUUGAAUUCACAGGCUUCAUCUUAUCCAUGCUGAUCCAAUAGGCAAUGUAAGAGUGUCUCUGAUUGCAAACAUUCCAAAGUCAUUUGCACAAUGACUGAGUGACUUCAACAAGUCAUUUUUUUUAAGGGUGGCCAUCAAAUCAUUUAACAUCCAAAUCUUUUGAGGGUCAAAGAGGAAUU
Rattus norvegicus (Norway rat) is the source of this 1669-nucleotide long non-coding RNA. RefSeq lists it as uncharacterized. Lineage: Eukaryota; Metazoa; Chordata; Mammalia; Rodentia; Muridae. The record is from RefSeq and is a predicted model, not a curated record.